AUCGUGCGGUGCAUUUUGGGGUCGUACAUGGCAUUCGGUUGUUUGCUUGGCUUUUUAGCCUUGCGGGUGGCUGUUUGGCUAGGCGGCUUCGGGGAUGUCUACCGUAAAGGUGCAUGAGUGGUGUUUGGUUUGAUACGGGUGGUCGGCUCCCUGCUUGAGCAGGCACGGCCACGCGUGCAUUCCUUUUCAGAUUUGCGGCAAGGCUUGUAUCGUCUUGAUCGUGUUAGUGGGUUUCCUGUGUUGCAUACCUGAUCAAUGGCAUCGUUUUGAUCAAAAGUGUUCCUUUUUCGUUUGGCGUUGCAAACGCAUCGUCAGAUGAAUCGUGCAGCAUCCUCUUUGAUCCUUACAGUUGAUGUGCAUUCGUUGAUUGUUUGGCUUGAUGAUGGUGGCUUGGUCUCUUGAAUAUGGAAGCCAAAGUGGGCAUGGGUUCGUAAGAUCCAUUUAUUGCCCAAAUUGAGCGUUCUCGCUUCUCUUGCACGACCGCCUUUCACGUAUGGCACGUCCCAGCGUGUUUGGCUACGUCGAAGAGGAAUGC
RNAcentral lists this unclassified non-coding RNA (535 nucleotides) under Batopilasia byei. Its description in RNAcentral is "partial external transcribed spacer". The record is from RNAcentral. Lineage: Eukaryota; Viridiplantae; Streptophyta; Magnoliopsida; Asterales; Asteraceae.